ACGGCUCAGUAACACGUAGUCAACAUGCCCAGGGGACGUGGAUAACCUCGGGAAACUGAGGAUAAACCGCGAUAGGUCACUACUUCUGGAAUGGGUAAUGACUCAAACCUAUAUGGCCCCUGGAUCGGACUGCGGCCGAUCAGGCUGUUGGUGAGGUAAUGGCCCACCAAACCUGUAACCGGUACGGGCUCUGAGAGGAGGAGCCCGGAGAUGGGCACUGAAACAAGGGCCCAGGCCCUAUGGGGCGCAGCAGGCGCGAAACCUCUGCAAUAGGCGAAAGCCUGACAGGGUUACUCUGAGUGAUCUCCGUUAAGGAGAUCUUUUGGCACCUCUAAAAAUGGUGCAGAAUAAGGGGUGGGCAAGUCUGGUGUCAGCCGCCGCGGUAAUACCAGCUCCCCGAGUGGUCGGGACGUUUAUUGGGCCUAAAGCAUCCGUAGCCGGUUCUGCAAGUCUUCCGUUAAAUCCAGCUGCUUAACAGAUGGGCUGCGGAAGAUACUAUGGAGCUAGGAGGCGGGAGAGGCAAGCGGUACUCGAUGGGUAGGGGUAAAAUCCGUUGAUCCAUUGAAGACCACCAGUGGCGAAGGCGGCUUGCCAGAACGCGCUCGACGGUGAGGGAUGAAAGCUGGGGGAGCAAACCGGAUUAGAUACCCGGGUAGUCCCAGCUGUAAACGAUGCAGACUCGGUGAUGAGUUGGCUACAUGCCAACUCAGUGCCGCAGGGAAGCCGUUAAGUUUGCCGCCUGGGGAGUACGGUCGCAAGACUGAAACUUAAAGGAAUUGGCGGGGGAG
This 788-nucleotide ribosomal RNA is filed under the name uncultured crenarchaeote. Its description in RNAcentral is "bacterial SSU rRNA". It matches the Rfam family "Archaeal small subunit ribosomal RNA", at positions 85 to 876 of the family's 1478-position model. Lineage: Archaea; Thermoproteati; Thermoproteota. The record is from RNAcentral.